CUGCGCCCCUCCUGCCCAUGUGCUCCACAUCGACCAUCGGAAGCAAGGGGGGUUUCUGUUUUAACUUCUUUCCUCCCCCCAUAACAAAGGCAGCACUCUGGAGGCUCUUUCUCUGAUUGGACGUCUAGGAAACUGGGAUUCCUCCAAGUUAAUAUCCUUUUGCCGGGCUGAAUGCCGGAAAGACGAGGAGGGAGCAAGAUGAAAACAAAACAUCCCCAAACUGGGUCCAUUAGAGGACGUGCCUCUCCGGAGUGAGAGAGAAUGAACAGAAGUGGUUUAAACAAACAAACAAGCCCCAAACCUCGAGCCUGGAAGGCCUCCAGGGCUCUUUGGACUGAAUUUACACUGGUUCCUGAAGUGUGGAAAAAGUAAAUAAGCUUUUGUUUAGAUUUCAUCCUUCAUGUUCUCUGGACUGAAAGACUGCAAAGUGCCGGAAAGU
This 439-nucleotide long non-coding RNA is filed under the name Monodelphis domestica (gray short-tailed opossum). RNAcentral's name for it is "lncRNA (ENSMODG00000044449.1)". The record is from RNAcentral. Lineage: Eukaryota; Metazoa; Chordata; Mammalia; Didelphimorphia; Didelphidae.